Molecule: ribosomal RNA, 275 nt
Filed under: uncultured Anoxybacillus sp.
Lineage: Bacteria; Bacillati; Bacillota; Bacilli; Caryophanales; Anoxybacillaceae
Description: partial 16S ribosomal RNA
Rfam family: Bacterial small subunit ribosomal RNA
Source: RNAcentral
CGACCUUAGUUGCCAGCAUUCAGUUGGGCACUCUAAGGUGACUGCCGGCUAAAAGUCGGAGGAAGGUGGGGAUGACGUCAAAUCAUCAUGCCCCUUAUGACCUGGGCUACACACGUGCUACAAUGGGCGGUACAAAGGGUCGCGAACCCGCGAGGGGGAGCCAAUCCCAAAAAGCCGCUCUCAGUUCGGAUUGCAGGCUGCAACUCGCCUGCAUGAAGCCGGAAUCGCUAGUAAUCGCGGAUCAGCAUGCCGCGGUGAAUACGUUCCCGGGCCUU